This 393-nucleotide ribosomal RNA is filed under the name uncultured bacterium. Its description in RNAcentral is "partial 16S ribosomal RNA". It matches the Rfam family "Bacterial small subunit ribosomal RNA", at positions 523 to 918 of the family's 1533-position model. The record is from RNAcentral.
AUACGAGGGGUGCAAGCGUUGUUCGGAAUUACUGGGCGUAAAGGGAGCGUAGGCGGAGAUUCAAGCGGAUUGUACAAUCCCGGGGCCCAACCCCGGCUCUGCAGUCCGAACUGGAUCUCUUGGAUAGUUCAGGGGCAGGCGGAAUUCCUGGUGUAGCGGUGGAAUGCGUAGAGAUCAGGAAGAACACCGAUGGCGAAGGCAGCCUGCUGGGGACUUAUCGACGCUGAGGCUCGAGAGUGCGGGUAGCAAACAGGAUUAGAUACCCUGGUAGUCCGCACCGUAAACGAUGCAUACUGGGUGUCCGGGGGUUCCCCCGGGUACCGUAGCCAACGCGUUAAGUAUGCCGCCUGGGGAGUACGUACGCAAGUAUGAAACUCAAAUGAAUUGACGGGG